GGAUUGAUACUAAGCCAUUGCGAGUCAUUUGUAGGCAAUACAAGGGCAGACUGGCUCAGUAACGUCGUUAGUUCAACUCUAACCUAUGGACUGGGAAUAACCUCGGGAAAGCUGAGAAUAAUGCCCGAUAGAACACUAUAUCCUGGUAAUGGUUUUGUGUUCCAAAUUGAUUUAUCGCUCGUAGGAUUGGGACUUGCGGCCUAUCAGUUGUGUUUGGUGAGGUUAAUGGCCCACCAAUGACUAUUACAGUGUUACGGUGCUCUGAGAGGAGGUAGCCCUGGAGAUGGGUACUUGAGACACUGGACCCAGUGCCCUAUGUGGGCGCAGUCAGUGCGAGUAAAACUUUUGCAAUUGUUGCGAAAGUCACGACAAUGGUUAAUCGCGAGUUGGUUUUCUGCUAUAUAGGAACCUUUUGGUCUGGUCCUAUGAAACACCGUAUGAAUAGUAGUGGGUGGUGCAAGUUUCUGGUGUUCAGCUCGCCGUCGGUGAAAACCUAGCACCUUCAAGUUGGUCAUGGAUUGAUUAUUUGGGCCUAGAAGCAUUCCGUUAGCCGGGCUUCUGUAAGU
This 566-nucleotide ribosomal RNA is filed under the name uncultured archaeon. RNAcentral's name for it is "bacterial SSU rRNA". The stretch from base 2 to 381 matches the Rfam family "Archaeal small subunit ribosomal RNA", at positions 36 to 381 of the family's 1478-position model. The record is from RNAcentral.